GGAGUGUCACAAUGUUGGGCGCCUCUUUCACCUCCCUGCAGUUCAACAGUCUAUCAACAAGUCCUGUAGGCAGUUCUGUCUGAGGAUAAAGGCUAUGCAUAGCACUCAUUAGAUCCCAGUGCGCAUGAUCGUGGAUUAGGACAAACAGUGUGUGUGGAUUCUGCAUAGAGUUUUGCAGAAAGACUUUGAACUUAAUCUGGGCUUCUGCAUCUAGUUUCAGAACAUACUGCUCC
This 233-nucleotide long non-coding RNA is filed under the name Gallus gallus (chicken). The record is from RNAcentral. Lineage: Eukaryota; Metazoa; Chordata; Aves; Galliformes; Phasianidae.